UACAUUUUAGUGUAUAGUGCACAAGAAUUUUUGAUAUUCUUAGUAUUAGUCUGAUUCUAAUAAAUGUAU
Molecule: transfer RNA, 69 nt
Filed under: Perisphaerus sp. 2 ZQW-2023b
Lineage: Eukaryota; Metazoa; Arthropoda; Insecta; Blattodea; Blaberidae
Description: tRNA-Gln
Source: RNAcentral